GCUAUCGUGGCCUAAUGGAUAAGGCGUUGGUAUUCGUAACCAAAGACUGUGGGUUCGAGUCCCAUCGAGAUCG
Perkinsus marinus ATCC 50983 is the source of this 73-nucleotide non-coding RNA. NCBI's taxonomy places the organism in Eukaryota, Perkinsozoa, Perkinsida, Perkinsidae. The record is from Rfam.